RNAcentral lists this ribosomal RNA (345 nucleotides) under Triticum aestivum (bread wheat). RNAcentral describes it as "partial small subunit ribosomal RNA". Lineage: Eukaryota; Viridiplantae; Streptophyta; Magnoliopsida; Poales; Poaceae. The record is from RNAcentral.
AUGAGCAUUGACAAGAAGAAGAUAAAGCGGCAAAAACAGGCCAAGAUGAAAUCCAACAGCAGGAUGGCGUCAACAACCCCAAAAACAAGAAUGAACGCAACAAACAAAGCAACCUCACAACAGACAGUGCUACAACAACAACUACUCCAACACAAGCACAAGAUACAAUCGACGUCAGAACCAGUGAAGAGGUCACUGGAGAACAAUCAAGUCAGCAGUCCCGUCAACCAAAUGCAGGAGGCUCACCCAAAAUCAACCAUUAGCAUAACAAACAACAAAGAAGAAGAAAACAAUGAAGAGGAGGCAUCACAAUCACUGCAAGACCAAGAGACAACCAGUGUUUAA